This is a long non-coding RNA of Lontra canadensis (Northern American river otter), 315 nucleotides long. RefSeq lists it as uncharacterized. The transcript has 3 exons. The record is from RefSeq and is a predicted model, not a curated record. NCBI's taxonomy places the organism in Eukaryota, Metazoa, Chordata, Mammalia, Carnivora, Mustelidae.
CCAGACACCCGGAGGCUCAGCAUGAGUCAGCUGAAGGAUGUGGGUGCCAAGAAAACCUCAGGCAAGCCUGGACCCUGUGGAGGCUUCCAGAAAAAGAAAGGACCGGAGGGCCAUGCAAUCCCACAUGUGUCCAGCAGAGGUCAGAAGAUGUCACCAAAAGCUCUGAGUUCUCCAAUAAUCCAGGCAGAAACUGGAUGACUGGUUUACAUAUGGAUUGAAUUGAAGGAACUGAGAAUUAAAGAAAGGCCUACAGCCAGGUCAAACCCAUCCCAGUUGUCCAAACAGUACAUUCUGAAUAAAUAUUCUGGUGGUUAC